GUGAGAUUCUACUGGCUGCCUUUCAUGAUGUGUUCCAGAAGAGUGCAGGUUCCAGCGUGUGAGGUGAGGGAGUACACUCUGUAUCAGGAUGAGAGACGUUUGCCCCAACUCAACAAAGAACUCACUCAAGGACGCUGCGGAGGAAAGCGCGUGGGCAGGGGUUCGUGAAUCUGAUGCCGACGCAGUGAUAUCUGAGCCCUCUCAUUCUCACUGCAGCAGCCUCGGGGUGUUCAGAAGAUGCCGACGCUAAUUCCAUGACCUCUUUGACGUCCCACGGUUACAUAAGCGCCUCCUCCACAAAUGGGCGCCCUCCAGAGAGCAGGAGAAAGGACAAAAACACAUACCUGAGACACCCAGACAGGAUAAUUACCGUACCCUUAUGGAUAUGUAUUUGUUUAUUCAUACAUUUAUUCAGCACAUUUCCUGAUAACUCUUUUGUGAAAAUACAUUAAUAAUAUAAUGAACAAAAGAAGAAAAUAUUCAUUCUCAUGGGCUUUUCUCUACUGAAAUUAUUGAAUCACAUUAAGUAUACCAAGGUUGGAUUUCCCUGAACACUGUGGCAUUUUUUCUAAGCUGGGGUGUGUUUGUUAGCCUCCUACCCUCUUUGUACCUUUUCUUCUUCUUUGUUGAGCACCAGAGUCCUUUACAGGUAAGCUAACAAAUGCAAAGGAUCAGUAUCCAAUCCGAGGGACACACACAUCAGGUCUCUUACUCACAUCAAGCUUUACUAAUAACGUCCAAUGACUAAGACCAGAUGGUGAGGGGAGAUGUGUAGAUACAACAGAUUCCCGGCACCGGGGCUUUUUCAGACAGAAGUGAUGCUCUGUGACCCGCAAUCACCCUUGACGUCAGCACAGCCACUGGUGGAUGCUGCAGCUCCAGACAGCACCUCUGGAGAGAAGGAUGGAAAGCGAGGCCCAGCCCUAUGGUUCCAUGUGCUACAAGGCAGCUUCCUCCCUCGGACACCCUGCGGGAUGCUGCUUCUACCCCUGCAACAUUAAAUGUGUUACACAGCACAGAAGAGGCAGAGAAAUUAAAUUAUCUCUGGGAUGAGAAAUAAUGUUUCCCUGAAUAAAUUAUAUUUUGAUUAUGAAUAAAAAGGGGA
Molecule: long non-coding RNA, 1105 nt
Filed under: Chinchilla lanigera (long-tailed chinchilla)
Lineage: Eukaryota; Metazoa; Chordata; Mammalia; Rodentia; Chinchillidae
Description: lncRNA (ENSCLAG00000023943.1)
Source: RNAcentral